CCUACGGGGUGCAGCAGUGAGGAAUAUUGGUCAAUGGACGAGAGUCUGAACCAGCCAAGUAGCGUGAAGGAUGACUGCCCUAUGGGUUGUAAACUUCUUUUAUAUGGGAAUAAAAUGUUCCACGUGUGGGAUUUUGUAUGUACCAUAUGAAUAAGGAUCGGCUAACUCCGUGCCAGCAGCCGCGGUAAUACGGAGGAUCCGAGCGUUAUCCGGAUUUAUUGGGUUUAAAGGGAGCGUAGGUGGAUUGUUAAGUCAGUUGUGAAAGUUUGCGGCUCAACCGUAAAAUUGCAGUUGAAACUGGCAGUCUUGAGUACAGGAGAGGUGGGCGGAAUUCGUGGUGUAGCGGUGAAAUGCUUAGAUAUCACGAAGAACUCCGAUUGCGAAGGCAGUUCACUGGACUGCAACUGACACUGAGGCUCGAAAGUGUGGGUAUCAAACAGGAUUAGUACCCCUGGUAGUC
This 460-nucleotide ribosomal RNA is filed under the name uncultured bacterium. RNAcentral's name for it is "partial 16S ribosomal RNA". It matches the Rfam family "Bacterial small subunit ribosomal RNA", at positions 338 to 795 of the family's 1533-position model. The record is from RNAcentral.